Molecule: long non-coding RNA, 1338 nt
Filed under: Oryctolagus cuniculus (rabbit)
Lineage: Eukaryota; Metazoa; Chordata; Mammalia; Lagomorpha; Leporidae
Description: lncRNA (ENSOCUG00000036919.1)
Source: RNAcentral
AUGGCUGGAAGGUGCCGCCGAGCGCAUUCGGGCUGGGCGGAAGGUAGUUUUCAGGCGGCGCCUGAACACGGGAGUGUGGAGAAUUACAUAAACAGCCAGUUCUCAUUAGAUUUCUGCUCACAGCGCCCGGAGCCCAAGCGCUACGGCGGCAGCUACAGCAGGAGGAGGUGGAGGAGGAGGAAGAGUACGAGCUCCCGGGGAGGAGGAGGAGGAAGGGGACAACGACGACGAAGGCCACGGGAAGGGGAAAGGCCAGCUCCCGCGGCCGGGCACCGGGCACCGGGCAGGUCCGGCGCCGCCGGUCAGCCGCUCCCCUCCCCCCGCCGUAACCUGACCCGCCUCUCCCCGCCCCCGCCCCCCGCCCGAGGCUCCUGGGACCCGGCCAGGGCCCGGGGAGCACCGGCUCCCCGGCACCAUUUUCGGCCUCAGCGGCCACCGGCCCCUCACACCCCAGCGUUGCCCGCGAGCUCGCCGCCCCUCCCGGGAGCCCCAACCCCCGAUUCCGGCGGCACGCCCCGGGCCUCCCUUCCCGGUCACCCGCCGGGCCCCCGCCGAGCCCGACGCCUCGGGGCCGGGCGUCCGGAGCCGCUCCCGUCGGGUCCCGGGAGCUGUCCGUCCGCGCCCACGGCCGCGAAGCCGCCGUCCCCGAGCCCCCCACCCCCACCCCACCCCGAGGGCCCGGGGCUCGACGACGCUGCAGCCCCUCCUUCGGCGCCCCGGUCUGGGCUCCCGUCUCCCUGCCGCCCGCCGCCUCGCCGAUACUUACGGGCUGCUGCGGGGUUGCGUCCACCACAGACUGGCGGCCGGGAGGGCAGAAGGGGCGGCAGGGCGGGGGCGCGGGAGCGGCGAGUCGACCGAAUGCAAGACGUCGUCGCCGCCGCCGCCGCCGCCGGACGGAGGACGCAGGCCUCGGGCGGGCCUCAGGAGCUCGCGGCUUCUGGCUCGGGGUGGCGGGGACGGGGGUCAGGCGAGCGCGCUCACUUCUCCACACAGCCCGGUGCCCCGGCCCAGCGUCCCCGUAGAGCGCCCACUCCGCGCCGGGCCAGAGCUUCGCUCCUUCUGCCGCGGCGCGCGCCCCGCCUCUCGUUUUAUAUUCUUCUCCCUGCCCCCAAUCCCCUCCGUGGGGGUGCGCGCGCCCGCCCGCGUCACACAGCUUCGGGGCGGCGUAACCAUUCCCCGCCCUCCCCGUCCAGCACCCCGGACUCUCGCCGGCUCGCUCCACCCCGGCCCUACCCCUCGACGCCAUUGGCCAAGUCCCGCCUGCCCAUGUCCCGUCGGGCGGCGAACGGCCCGGGUGGGGGAAGGCCACACCUCCUCGGGCACCAGAAUGGCCAAUGA